UUUCUAGAGAUAGAGAAGCUUUGGGGCAGAGCUAUCUAAAUCCUGAGGGUUGAUUUGCCCUCCCCUGUUUUCUGAUUGACAGCUGGUCUCUCAACUUUCCACCAUCUCUUCUGCUGCACAACAUGCUGGAGUUCCUCCUCUCUUAGCAAAGCACUACGGUAUGAAUGAAAUCAUACGAUAUUUGUCUUUCACUGACUUACUUUGCUUCGCAUAAUACCCUCAAGAUCCAUCUACAUUGUCACAAAUGGUACUAUUUUUCCUUUUUUAUGGCUGAGUAGUAUUCCAUUGUGUGUGUAUAUACACAUACAGACACACACACACCCCACAUCUUCUUUAGGAUCAUGUUAUCUCUCCUGCCAACUUCCUGAUGUCACAUGUCUGCACCUCCAUCUAGAUUCCUUGAUGACAUGCCUUCCCUGUCCCAGAGCUGGAGGCAGUUCUGGAUGUGUGCACAGCAGCCUCUGGGGACCUUCCACAUUUUCCAUCUGCUGCUGGAGCCCAUUUUCUUGAACCUUAGUUUCCUGCCUGAAGACGGGAACAAUUUAUACCCCCUUCUCCAUGAGCUUGGAAGGCUGACAGAGAAGAUUAAGAUCAUUGCCAUCAAGUUUUUAUCUGCUAUAAGCAAAAACAGGAAACCAAGAAAUAAAGGCACAGCUUAGCAAUAGCUUCUGAGUGGGUAACAUGGGAGAAGUUUUUCUUAAAUCCUCUUUCCCAUGUACCUUCCCACCCACAUGUUCUUAGUCAGAUUUAUUUUUUGCAUAUCAGUUUCUGAGGAUGACAAGAAACUUGCCCUUUUCUUAACUAUGGUUUUCAGAAGCAGAUUAUCCUGCGCUUAGUCGAGACCUCUUACUGAACCCUUGGAAUAAAUAAUACCCUGGGCUUAGGAAGUGGGUGUUGAAUAGAGAUUUUAUGACUCAUAAUGGAGUGUCAAAAUAGCCACUGCUGAUGUAUGGGUUCCUUAUCAGUUUUGGAAAUGACCCUGGGUAGAGCCGCACUUUCCUCUUGUAUUGAAAUUCCGUGAUUGAGGGAAAGUUUUAACAAGAACGUUCAGCAUCUCUUGAUAUUUAAAAGUCCCACAUUGAAUGGUGGCAUUUUUCAAAGGGGACUUGAGUUUAGCCUGGAAAGGCAGCUGUCCUCAGAAGAGGGGACCAGAGCAUUUCUCCAGGGUGGGCAGCUCAGGACCUAAGCUGCCAGGAUGAAUGGAGAAAAAGAUUGGCAUUUCCCUAGCCUAUGUCUUGAGGUUCUUGUUCUCAAAGGAGGAUGAGGUCAGGGUUCUACGCUUUCUCCUAGAGUAGAAUGAGAGAUCUCUCAUAAUAUCCAGCAGUUAGCAACAUUUCUAGGGCUCAGACCUUUGCUAUUCUCUCUCCCCUGCUGGAGGAAAUGAAAGGUAUAGUUCUCUCCUUAGGUCUGAGGGCAGCCUCACCUUGAGCUGAGCCCUCUCUUGGGAUAUUAUCUCAACUACCACACUCUCAGCAUAGGCCCCAUUAGUAAAGUCUUCUCAUUAGUGAUUGUUUUGUAGUAAUGAGGUUCUAUGAUAUGCCCCUUAGAUUGUU
Long non-coding RNA from Equus asinus (donkey), 1553 nucleotides. The record is from Ensembl. NCBI's taxonomy places the organism in Eukaryota, Metazoa, Chordata, Mammalia, Perissodactyla, Equidae.